This 497-nucleotide ribosomal RNA is filed under the name uncultured bacterium. RNAcentral's name for it is "partial 16S ribosomal RNA". It matches the Rfam family "Bacterial small subunit ribosomal RNA", at positions 28 to 507 of the family's 1533-position model. The record is from RNAcentral.
GAUGAACGCUGGCGGCGUGCCUAAUACAUGCAAGUCGAGCGAACGGACGAGAAGCUUGCUUCUCUGAUGUUAGCGGCGGACGGGUGAGUAACACGUGGAUAACCUACCUAUAAGACUGGGAUAACUUCGGGAAACCGUAGCUAAUACCGGAUAAUAUUUUGAACCGCAUGGUUCAAAAGUGAAAGACGGUCUUGCUGUCACUUAUAGAUGGAUCCGCGCUGCAUUAGCCAGUUGGUAAGGUAACGGCUUACCAAGGCAACGAUGCAUAGCCGACCUGAGAGGGUGAUCGGCCACACUGGAACUGAGACACGGUCCAGACUCCUACGGGAGGCAGCAGUAGGGAAUCUUCCGCAAUGGGCGAAAGCCUGACGGAGCAACGCCGCGUGAGUGAUGAAGGUCUUCGGAUCGUAAAACUCUGUUACUAGGGAAGAACAUAUGUGUAAGUAACUGUGCACAUCUUGACGGUACCUAAUCAGAAAGCCACGGCUAACUACGUG